GAUGAACGCUGGCGGCGUGCCUAAUACAUGCAAGUCGAGCGAACGGACGAGAAGCUUGCUUUUCUGAUGUUAGCGGCGGACGGGUGAGUAACACGUGGAUAACCUACCUAUAAGACUGGGAUAACUUCGGGAAACCGGAGCUAAUACCGGAUAAUAUUUUGAACCGCAUGGUUCAAAAGUGAAAGACGGUCUUGCUGUCACUUAUAGAUGGAUCCGCGCUGCAUUAGCUAGUUGGUAAGGUAACGGCUUACCAAGGCAACGAUGCAUAGCCGACCUGAGAGGGUGAUCGGCCACACUGGAACUGAGACACGGUCCAGACUCCUACGGGAGGCAGCAGUAGGGAAUCUUCCGCAAUGGGCGAAAGCCUGACGGAGCAACGCCGCGUGAGUGAUGAAGGUCUUCGCAUCGUAAAACUCUGUUAUUAGGGAAGAACAUAUGUGUAAGUAACUGUGCACGUCUUGACGGUACCUAAUCAGAAAGCCACGGCUAACUACGUG
RNAcentral lists this ribosomal RNA (497 nucleotides) under uncultured bacterium. Its description in RNAcentral is "partial 16S ribosomal RNA". It matches the Rfam family "Bacterial small subunit ribosomal RNA", at positions 28 to 507 of the family's 1533-position model. The record is from RNAcentral.